UACGGAGGGUGCGAGCGUUGUCCGGAAUCACUGGGCGUAAAGGGCGCGUAGGCGGCCUGAUAAGUAGGGGGUGAAAUCCUGCGGCUUAACCGCAGGGCUGCCUUCUAAACUGUCAGGCUCGAGCACAGUAGAGGCAGGUGGAAUUCCCGGUGUAGCGGUGGAAUGCGUAGAGAUCGGGAAGAACAUCAGUGGCGAAGGCGGUUACCUGGAGCUUUGCUGACGCUGAUGCGCGAAAGCGUGGGGAGCGAGUCCGG
RNAcentral lists this ribosomal RNA (254 nucleotides) under uncultured bacterium. RNAcentral describes it as "partial 16S ribosomal RNA". It matches the Rfam family "Bacterial small subunit ribosomal RNA", at positions 524 to 777 of the family's 1533-position model. The record is from RNAcentral.